Lemur catta (Ring-tailed lemur) is the source of this 1982-nucleotide RNA transcript. It is a transcript of the gene named tRNA methyltransferase 12 homolog, with no coding region annotated. The transcript has 2 exons. NCBI's taxonomy places the organism in Eukaryota, Metazoa, Chordata, Mammalia, Primates, Lemuridae. The record is from RefSeq and is a predicted model, not a curated record.
GUGAGCGUAAUAAGGCCGGUGAACUGACUCCGAGGAGCAGUAGUCUUGCCGAGGGACUCGGAGAGAAUGUGGGCUCUCGCGACAUGGAGAGAGAACCUGGGAAGUCCGUGCCUGUUGUCGCGGUUGUGACUGAACCUCGAUUUACUCAGCGAUAUAGGGAAUAUCUGGAGAAGCAGAAACUCUUGGAUAGACGGCACCGUGUGCAAAAGAUGCCGGAUGGCACCGUGGCGCUACCGGUGCUGGGAGAGACCCUCCCCGAGCAGCACCUGCGGGAGCUGACCAGUCGCGUGGCCCCAGGCAGCACCUGUGUGCUGACCCAGCUCCUGGAUCCCGUUCCUUCAAAGAAGGUCCAGGGUUUUUCACCUGCCCAAAGAUUGUGUCUUGAGGUGAGUCGCUGGGUGGAAGGUCGCGGAGUCAAGUGGUCCGCUGAGUUGGAGGCUGAUUUGCCCCGAUCUUGGCAACGGCAUGGGGACCUCUUGUUGCUGAGUGAAGACUGUUUUCAAGGCAAGCAAUGGAAAAGUCUGGAACCAGAACUCUGGGAGACUGUUGCCUCCGCACUUGGUGUCCAGCGUUUGGCAAAACGAGGGCGGGUAUCACCGGAUGGCACUCGAACUCCAGCAGUGACUCUGCUGCUGGGCGACCAUGGCUGGGUAGAGCAUGUGGAUAAUGGUAUCCGAUAUAAGUUUGACGUGACCCAGUGUAUGUUCUCCUUCGGAAACAUCACAGAGAAGCUGCGAGUGGCAUCGCUGUCCUGUGCUGGAGAAGUGCUAGUGGAUCUCUAUGCAGGGAUUGGUUAUUUCACAUUACCCUUCCUAGUUCAUGCUGGUGCUGCCUUCCUUCAUGCCUGUGAGUGGAACCCCCAUGCUGCAGCUGCUCUGAGAAAUAACCUUGAGAUCAAUGGAGUAGCAGAUCGGUGCCAAAUUCAUUUUGGGGAUAACAGGAAACUGAAGCUCUCAAACGUUGCAGAUAGGGUGAACCUGGGGCUGAUUCCCAGCUCUGAAGAAGGCUGGCCCAUUGCCUGCCAAGUGCUACGGCAGGAUGCUGGGGGUAUUCUGCAUAUCCACCAAAAUGUGGAAUCUUUCCCAGGGAGGAAUCCCCAGCCUCCUGGAAGCAGCAAAAUAGAGAAAGAACAUUGGCCUUAUCCUCAGCAAGUUAUCACCAACCAGUGCAAAAAUGGAGCUACCAGGGAUUCCAGGAGGAAAAUGCUGUCACCAGCCACCAAGCCAGAGUGGCAAAGGUGGGCAGAAUCUGCAGAAACUCGAAUUGCCUAUCUUCUUCAGCAGGUGCAUGGGAAACCAUGGAAGACACGAAUCCUGCACAUCCAACCAGUGAAAUCCUAUGCCCCCCAUGUGGAUCACAUAGUCCUGGAUCUGGAAUGCCGCCCCUGUCCUUUAGUAGGCUAGAGGAGGUGGAUCCUGGGACACAAGGGAUCCAGGUUUGAGUGGCCCUUAAUGCAUCAGCUCAGGCUGAGCUCUCACUCCUUUUGUCUCCCGGUGAUCUAUUUUAAUAUUUUGUGGCCCUGAAAGCAAGCUGUAGACCAGUCCAGAUCAUUUCAUUUGUCUGCCAGUGAUCAUACUGAGAAUGAACUACAUAUCUGGGAGAAGCAGCGUAGCCCAUUGAAAUGAGGCUCAUCUGUGCAAUUAUGAAUUCCAAAUUCUGACCUCAUUUCUGACCUUUCAAUAUUCUUUGGCCUUGGAUUUCCUUAUUUGCAAAAUGAAGGUUUCCUUGAACUGUCUCACAUGGCUAUUGUCUAAUAAGCAGUUGUACACAGGGCAUUGGUUAUUUUAGAGUGAAAGACACAGUACUGUUUCAAAAUCACUCCUGCUACAAUAUGGAAAAUCAACUGGAGGAGGGCCAAGAUGGAAACAGGGAGAUUGGCGAGAAGGCUUCUGUGGUUGUCCAGAUGUUUCAACUGUUGUUAAUGCUGCCCUCUAGUGAAGAUGCUGUGGAAAUAAAAACUCAUUCAGCCUUGAACUAUUUUA